This is a long non-coding RNA of Amphiprion ocellaris (clown anemonefish), 1599 nucleotides long. The record is from Ensembl. NCBI's taxonomy places the organism in Eukaryota, Metazoa, Chordata, Actinopteri, Pomacentridae.
UGCAGCUAACCAGAGCUGGAGGUGGAGGGCAUGACAGCAACACUACAUGGGAACACAGUAUACAAAGCAACUGCACAGCUAUACACUGCAACAAAGAACACUAAAUAUUUGGACUGAAUGCGCAGGAAACCGUAAUGAAAAUUAAAAUUCUAAUUGUGACGAGAAACUAGACGACUUGGUAGUCAGGAUGACGAUAGUCAACACAAUUCAAAGACGGGCUCAUGCCCUCCACCUCCAGCUGGGCUUUGUGGCAACCUUCCUUUCCCUUUUUUCUCUUGUGGGUAUAAGUGAGAUGUGAGUGGAAUGUGUGCAGGUGCAGACCACUGGAUGAUUAUCUGAGUGGUCCACCUGAAACUCAUCUACCGUCACCAUAAAAGCCAGGAUCAGACCACUACACGAUACUGUACCAUUGAACAACUCCAGUUCCAUGACCUUUCCUGCCCACGCUGUCUGCCUCCUGCCAUAUCUCCAGUCCGCCAGCCUCAUCCAACCUGGCCCUGUCCAGGUUCCCUCUCAGGAAUCUCCUCCUGGUUCCUGCACCUGCCAAGAUGACACUGGCACCACGACACAGGCCUCCUCCAUCCACAAUCCCUCACCCUCUGUCUCCGUCAGGCCAUCAGCUAAGUCGGCGCUGCGCUUUCUCUGGGAGAGAGAGAAGAGGGAGAAGAAGAUCCAGGAGAAAGAAGAGGAAGACGAGGGUCCAGGAGAAGGAGAAGAUGGAGAAGAUGAUCCUGAAAAGAGAGAAAAAGAUCCUGGAGAGGAAGAAGUUCAGUGGGAGGGCAGAGGUGCAGGGAGCAGCAUGGAGAACUAAAGAGAGGAAAAGCAGGAAAGACAUAGGUGGGUCUACGCAGAUUCCGGUCCUUCACACCAACCCCAUGAAGCAUCUGGACCAAAAGUGAGAAGAGGAUGAAGAGGAAAAGUCAGUAAUUCAUAGUGACUGGUAGCUGUGAAUACACAGGACUCAGGGGUAGAAUUCAAGGUUGAGGAUUCGCAGUUCAAACUGAGUCACACUGCUGUUAGAUGAGUACAGACCAGUUUCUUCCCCAGAAGAUGGUAGACCUUCUUUCGACGAGUGCGGUCACUCCUAUGGCGUUUGGCAGCGUGGAGCAGUGACGCCAUCCACACAGGAAGUCUGUAGAAAGAGGAGGAGUUACAGAUAUAGCAGAAGAAAAUAUGCACUUGGGCAUAACACAACUGAAAAAAACAAUCCCUAAGUCUGUGUCAGAUUAGUGCAGUGGUUGUAUUAGCAGCAGUUGUGCAAUUGUCAUACUCAUCUGAAAGUACCCGAAAAUAUCAUCUAAAAUAGCCACGCAAACUGAACAUGGAACUUCAGUCAUUUGCCAUGCAUGCUGCUAAAUUAAAACUCUUAAAAAUGAAAUAAAAAAUACACGGCAGAUCCAAGAAAUCAUGUAAAAUUGCUCAGCUGUUCAUUCCAGAAGAAAAUGUUUGCGUCCUCAUUAAUCGCUUCCUAGCACUGUUGGCAAACCACAAAUAAUGGGCCAUGAUCUCCUUUUCUGACACUGAUCUGUAAGUGUCACGAAAAGCCGCAGUUUCAAAAUGUGUACUGGGUUUAUGCAUAACGUUUGUGCUGAACUAGAG